Molecule: ribosomal RNA, 872 nt
Filed under: uncultured bacterium
Lineage: Bacteria
Description: bacterial SSU rRNA
Rfam family: Bacterial small subunit ribosomal RNA
Source: RNAcentral
UNGUAGGCAGCUGGUCGCGUCUGUCGUGAANUCCUCUGGCUUAACUGGGGGCUUGCGGUGGGUACGGGCCGACUUGAGUGCGGUAGGGAAGACUGGAACUCCUGGUGUAGCGGUGGAAUGCGCAGAUNUCAGGAAGAACACCGGUGGCGAAGGCGGGUCUCUGGGCCGUUACUGACGCUGAGGAGCGAAAGCGUGGGGAGCGAACAGGAUUAGAUACCCUGGUAGUCCACGCCGUAAACGUUGGGCACUAGGUGUGGGGGGCCUUUUCCGGGUCUUCCGCGCCGUAGCUAACGCAUUAAGUGCCCCGCCUGGGGAGUACGGCCGCAAGGCUAAAACUCAAAGGAAUUGACGGGGGCCCGCACAAGCGGCGGAGCAUGCGGAUUAAUUCGAUGCAACGCGAAGAACCUUACCAAGGCUUGACAUGUGCCGGUCGGCUCCGGAGACGGGGCUUCCUCCUUGUGGGGCCGGUUCACAGGUGGUGCAUGGUUGUCGUCAGCUCGUGUCGUGAGAUGUUGGGUUAAGUCCCGCAACGAGCGCAACCCUUGUCCCGUGUUGCCAGCACGUUGUGGUGGGGACUCGCGGGAGACUGCCGGGGUCAACUCGGAGGAAGGUGGGGAUGACGUCAAAUCAUCAUGCCCCUUAUGUCUUGGGCUUCACGCAUGCUACAAUGGCCGGUACAGAGGGCUGUGAUACCGUGAGGUGGAGCGAAUCCCUUAAAGCCGGUCUCAGUUCGGAUCGGUGUCUGCAACUCGACACCGUGAAGUUGGAGUCGCUAGUAAUCGCAGAUCAGCAACGCUGCGGUGAAUACGUUCUCGGGCCUUGUACACACCGCCCGUCACGUCAUGAAAGUCGGCAACACCCGAAGCCCGUGG